GUACGCUUCUUUUUCCCCGGAGCUUGCUCCACCGGAAAAAGAAGAGUGGCGAACGGGUGAGUAACACGUGGGUAACCUGCCCAUCAGAAGGGGAUAACACUUGGAAACAGGUGCUAAUACCGUAUAACAAUCGAAACCGCAUGGUUUUGAUUUGAAAGGCGCUUUCGGGUGUCGCUGAUGGAUGGACCCGCGGUGCAUUAGCUAGUUGGUGAGGUAACGGCUCACCAAGGCUACGAUGCAUAGCCGACCUGAGAGGGUGAUCGGCCACAUUGGGACUGAGACACGGCCCAAACUCCUACGGGAGGCAGCAGUAGGGAAUCUUCGGCAAUGGACGAAAGUCUGACCGAGCAACGCCGCGUGAGUGAAGAAGGUUUUCGGAUCGUAAAACUCUGUUGUUAGAGAAGAACAAGGAUGAGAGUAACUGUUCAUCCCUUGACGGUAUCUAACCAGAAAGCCACGGCUAACUACGUGCCAGCAGCCGCGGUAAUACGUAGGUGGCAAGCGUUGUCCGGAUUUAUUGGGCGUAAAGCGAGCGCAGGCGGUUUCUUAAGUCUGAUGUGAAAGCCCCCGGCUCAACCGGGGAGGGUCAUUGGAAACUGGGAGACUUGAGUGCAGAAGAGGAGAGUGGAAUUCCAUGUGUAGCGGUGAAAUGCGUAGAUAUAUGGAGGAACACCAGUGGCGAAGGCGGCUCUCUGGUCUGUAACUGACGCUGAGGCUCGAAAGCGUGGGGAGCAAACAGGAUUAGAUACCCUGGUAGUCCACGCCGUAAACGAUGAGUGCUAAGUGUUGGAGGGUUUCCGCCCUUCAGUGCUGCAGCUAACGCAUUAAGCACUCCGCCUGGGGAGUACGACCGCAAGGUUGAAACUCAAAGGAAUUGACGGGGGCCCGCACAAGCGGUGGAGCAUGUGGUUUAAUUCGAAGCAACGCGAAGAACCUUACCAGGUCUUGACAUCCUUUGACCACUCUAGAGAUAGAGCUUCCCCUUCGGGGGCAAAGUGACAGGUGGUGCAUGGUUGUCGUCAGCUCGUGUCGUGAGAUGUUGGGUUAAGUCCCGCAACGAGCGCAACCCUUAUUGUUAGUUGCCAUCAUUCAGUUGGGCACUCUAGCAAGACUGCCGGUGACAAACCGGAGGAAGGUGGGGAUGACGUCAAAUCAUCAUGCCCCUUAUGACCUGGGCUACACACGUGCUACAAUGGGAAGUACAACGAGUCGCGAAGUCGCGAGGCUAAGCUAAUCUCUUAAAGCUUCUCUCAGUUCGGAUUGUAGGCUGCAACUCGCCUACAUGAAGCCGGAAUCGCUAGUAAUCGCGGAUCAGCACGCCGCGGUGAAUACGUUCCCGGGCCUUGUACACACCGCCCGUCACACCACGAGAGUUUGUAACACCCGAAGUCGGUGAG
This 1397-nucleotide ribosomal RNA is filed under the name Enterococcus durans. RNAcentral's name for it is "bacterial SSU rRNA". It matches the Rfam family "Bacterial small subunit ribosomal RNA", at positions 64 to 1434 of the family's 1533-position model. The record is from RNAcentral. Lineage: Bacteria; Bacillati; Bacillota; Bacilli; Lactobacillales; Enterococcaceae.